This 568-nucleotide non-coding RNA is filed under the name Solanum tuberosum (potato). RNAcentral describes it as "rRNA SSU_rRNA_eukarya". It matches the Rfam family "Eukaryotic small subunit ribosomal RNA", at positions 606 to 1110 of the family's 1831-position model. Lineage: Eukaryota; Viridiplantae; Streptophyta; Magnoliopsida; Solanales; Solanaceae. The record is from Rfam by way of RNAcentral.
AAAGUUGGUGGGAAAAGUUGGUCCUUCAUUUCCAUAAAUGGCAAAAACGUCCUUUUCACAAAUCAACUUUGUAUAGCCUUUGGGAACUAUUUAGUUGCUAGUCAAGGUCAUUAAUUGCUCACCAAGGGUCUCUAAGUAAUCUCCCAAGGCUGGUUGAUAAUUGGCACGCCGUUUGAGACUCGUUGAAGCGCAAUAUGAAUCUGCCUCGCUCUUGGAAAUGCUGAAAUUUAAUGUAGCUUCUUUCGGGGCGGCACACUACGCUCUGUAUACAUUAGCAUGGGAUAACAUUAUAGGAUUUUGGUCCUAUUACAUUGGCCUUUGGGAUCAGAGUAAUGAUUUACACGGGGGCAUUCGUAUUUCAUAGUCAGAGGUGAAAUUCUUGGAUUUAUGAAAGACAAACAACUGCGAAAACAUUUGCCAAUGAUGUUUUCAUUAAUCAAGAACGAAAAUUGAGGGUUCGAAGACGAUCAGAUACCAUCCUAGUCUCAACCAUAAACGAUGCCGACUAGGGAUCGACAGAUGUUGCUUUUAGGACUCCGUCGGCACCCUAAAAGGUCGUAGUCCCUCU